Molecule: ribosomal RNA, 1693 nt
Filed under: Escherichia coli
Lineage: Bacteria; Pseudomonadati; Pseudomonadota; Gammaproteobacteria; Enterobacterales; Enterobacteriaceae
Description: partial 23S ribosomal RNA
Rfam family: Bacterial large subunit ribosomal RNA
Source: RNAcentral
AUGCUGGAGGUAUCAGAAGUGCGAAUGCUGACAUAAGUAACGAUAAAGCGGGUGAAAAGCCCGCUCGCCGGAAGACCAAGGGUUCCUGUCCAACGUUAAUCGGGGCAGGGUGAGUCGACCCCUAAGGCGAGGCCGAAAGGCGUAGUCGAUGGGAAACAGGUUAAUAUUCCUGUACUUGGUGUUACUGCGAAGGGGGGACGGAGAAGGCUAUGUUGGCCGGGCGACGGUUGUCCCGGUUUAAGCGUGUAGGCUGGUUUUCCAGGCAAAUCCGGAAAAUCAAGGCUGAGGCGUGAUGACGAGGCACUACGGUGCUGAAGCAACAAAUGCCCUGCUUCCAGGAAAAGCCUCUAAGCAUCAGGUAACAUCAAAUCGUACCCCAAACCGACACAGGUGGUCAGGUAGAGAAUACCAAGGCGCUUGAGAGAACUCGGGUGAAGGAACUAGGCAAAAUGGUGCCGUAACUUCGGGAGAAGGCACGCUGAUAUGUAGGUGAAGUCCCUCGCGGAUGGAGCUGAAAUCAGUCGAAGAUACCAGCUGGCUGCAACUGUUUAUUAAAAACACAGCACUGUGCAAACACGAAAGUGGACGUAUACGGUGUGACGCCUGCCCGGUGCCGGAAGGUUAAUUGAUGGGGUUAGCGCAAGCGAAGCUCUUGAUCGAAGCCCCGGUAAACGGCGGCCGUAACUAUAACGGUCCUAAGGUAGCGAAAUUCCUUGUCGGGUAAGUUCCGACCUGCACGAAUGGCGUAAUGAUGGCCAGGCUGUCUCCACCCGAGACUCAGUGAAAUUGAACUCGCUGUGAAGAUGCAGUGUACCCGCGGCAAGACGGAAAGACCCCGUGAACCUUUACUAUAGCUUGACACUGAACAUUGAGCCUUGAUGUGUAGGAUAGGUGGGAGGCUUUGAAGUGUGGACGCCAGUCUGCAUGGAGCCGACCUUGAAAUACCACCCUUUAAUGUUUGAUGUUCUAACGUGGACCCGUAAUCCGGGUUGCGGACAGUGUCUGGUGGGUAGUUUGACUGGGGCGGUCUCCUCCUAAAGAGUAACGGAGGAGCACGAAGGUUGGCUAAUCCUGGUCGGACAUCAGGAGGUUAGUGCAAUGGCAUAAGCCAGCUUGACUGCGAGCGUGACGGCGCGAGCAGGUGCGAAAGCAGGUCAUAGUGAUCCGGUGGUUCUGAAUGGAAGGGCCAUCGCUCAACGGAUAAAAGGUACUCCGGGGAUAACAGGCUGAUACCGCCCAAGAGUUCAUAUCGACGGCGGUGUUUGGCACCUCGAUGUCGGCUCAUCACAUCCUGGGGCUGAAGUAGGUCCCAAGGGUAUGGCUGUUCGCCAUUUAAAGUGGUACGCGAGCUGGGUUUAGAACGUCGUGAGACAGUUCGGUCCCUAUCUGCCGUGGGCGCUGGAGAAUUGAGGGGGGCUGCUCCUAGUACGAGAGGACCGGAGUGGACGCAUCACUGGUGUUCGGGUUGUCAUGCCAAUGGCACUGCCCGGUAGCUAAAUGCGGAAGAGAUAAGUGCUGAAAGCAUCUAAGCACGAAACUUGCCCCGAGAUGAGUUCUCCCUGACUCCUUGAGAGUCCUGAAGGAACGUUGAAGACGACGACGUUGAUAGGCCGGGUGUGUAAGCGCAGCGAUGCGUUGAGCUAACCGGUACUAAUGAACCGUGAGGCUUAACCUUACAACGCCGAAGGUGUUU